This 253-nucleotide ribosomal RNA is filed under the name uncultured bacterium. RNAcentral's name for it is "partial 16S ribosomal RNA". It matches the Rfam family "Bacterial small subunit ribosomal RNA", at positions 524 to 776 of the family's 1533-position model. The record is from RNAcentral.
UACGUAGGGAGCAAGCGUUGUCCGGAAUCAUUGGGCGUAAAGCGCGCGUAGGCGGCCCUGUAAGUCCGUUGUGAAAGUCAAAGGCUCAACCUUUGAAAGCCGAUGGAUACUGCAGGACUAGAGUCCGGAAGAGGAGAGUGGAAUUCCUGGUGUAGCGGUGAAAUGCGUAGAUAUCAGGAAGAACACCCGUGGCGAAGGUGGCUCUCUGGGACGGUACUGACGCUGAGACGCGAAAGCGUGGGGAGCGAACAGG